Lycium barbarum (goji berry) is the source of this 909-nucleotide long non-coding RNA. RefSeq lists it as uncharacterized. The record is from RefSeq and is a predicted model, not a curated record. Lineage: Eukaryota; Viridiplantae; Streptophyta; Magnoliopsida; Solanales; Solanaceae. The transcript has 3 exons.
UUAUUUUAUCAAAUUACAUGCACAGAUAUCUUGGUACUUAAGUAGUCAUUUUAUUAGAGGGAAAACGUAUUGACAACACCUAUCCUGGACAUAGUACGUGGCUAUUUUGAAAAAAGGUACACCAAACAAACUUUUUUUUUUGAUAUACAAAAAGGAUUAGUAUUUAGUUCAUCUAUUGCCUUUAGUAACUUCCACGACUAGAGAUCUAAUCUCCAAAAUCCAUCACCCUCAAUAUAUACAACAAUUGAAGCAAAAGAGUGAUAUGAACCAAAAAGAUUAGGUGCUUACCAUUUGCAUGCUCGAAGUAGAAUUGUAAAUUUGGGACUAACACCUAGAGGUUGAAAGAAUUUCUUCAUGUUGACUCGGAUUCAAGGGCAGACAUCUAAUGGCAGGGUUGACUCAUUAUAAUCACUCGACAUAAUUAAUCAAGGAUUAGCGUACCCAGUUCGUUGUUGAAUUCGGGUUUUUUUUUCCGAAGGGAAGUAAAGUGGAAGAAGAUCAUUUCUUGAUAUAUAAGACCUUGGGGAGCCCGAGGCGUAGAUUUGGAUUAACGUUAGAUUGGCUAGCUUGGAGUGCGUACAAGGUACAGACGCACAGUUUGGUGAUCCACCAAUUUAGGACACCCCCUUCUGCUGUUUGGAGUGCUCUUAUUCCGGAGCCUACAUUUUGGUAUAUAUACUUGUUUGAUGCAUAUGUAUAUAUUUAUUCAGGGGUACGGCGGGGCCCUGUUCCGCCAUAUGAUCCGUUUGGUCUGUUUAGAGGUCUGUAGACGUAUUUGUGGGUGUGUGUGCCUACUUCUGUACAGAUGUGUUUGUAUGACCCUAUUCGUUAUGGCAGCCUUGUCGGCGUGCACUUUGUAUAUGUUUUGGGCCGUUGCGCCAUCUGUUAGCCUUGUCGGCUUUUGAUACA